RNAcentral lists this small nuclear RNA (97 nucleotides) under Rosa chinensis. Lineage: Eukaryota; Viridiplantae; Streptophyta; Magnoliopsida; Rosales; Rosaceae. The record is from RNAcentral.
GUCCCUUAGGGGACACCCGAUAAAAUUGGAAUGAUACAAAGAAGAUUAAUUAGCAUGGUCUUUGCACAUGAAUGAAUAAAAAAUAGUCUAGAUUUUG